This 497-nucleotide ribosomal RNA is filed under the name uncultured bacterium. RNAcentral describes it as "partial 16S ribosomal RNA". It matches the Rfam family "Bacterial small subunit ribosomal RNA", at positions 28 to 507 of the family's 1533-position model. The record is from RNAcentral.
GAUGAACGCUGGCGGCGUGCCUAAUACAUGCAAGUCGAGCGAACAGAUGAGGAGCUUGCUCCUCUGACGUUAGCGGCGGACGGGUGAGUAACACGUGGAUAACCUACCUAUAAGACUGGGAUAACUUCGGGAAACCGGAGCUAAUGCCGGAUAAUAUAUUGAACCGCAUGGUUCAAUAGUGAAAGACGGUUUUGCUGUCACUUAUAGAUGGAUCCGCGUCGCAUUAGCUAGUUGGUAAGGUAACGGCUUACCAAGGCAACGAUGCGUAGCUGACCUGAGAGGGUGAUCGGCCACACUGGAACUGAGACACGGUCCAGACUCCUACGGGAGGCAGCAGUAGGGAAUCUUCCGCAAUGGGCGAAAGCCUGACGGAGCAACGCCGCGUGAGUGAUGAAGGUCUUCGGAUCGUAAAACUCUGUUAUUAGGGAAGAACAAAUGUGUAAGUAACUAUGCACGUCUUGACGGUACCUAAUCAGAAAGCAACGGCUAACUACGUG